This 497-nucleotide ribosomal RNA is filed under the name uncultured bacterium. RNAcentral describes it as "partial 16S ribosomal RNA". It matches the Rfam family "Bacterial small subunit ribosomal RNA", at positions 28 to 507 of the family's 1533-position model. The record is from RNAcentral.
GAUGAACGCUGGCGGCGUGCCUAAUACAUGCAAGUCGAGCGAACGGACGAGAAGCUUGCUUCUCUGAUGUUAGCGGCGGACGGGUGAGUAACACGUGGAUAACCUACCUAUAAGACUGGGAUAACUUCGGGUAACCGUAGCUAAUACCGGAUAAUAUUUUGAACCGCAUGGUUCAAAAGUGAAAGACGGUCUUGCUGUCACUUAUAGAUGGAUCCGCGCUGCAUUAGCUAGUUGGUAAGGUAACGGCUUACCAAGGCAACGAUGCAUAGCCGACCUGAGAGGGUGAUCGGCCACACUGGAACUGAGACACGGUCCAGACUCCUACGGGAGGCAGCAGUAGGGAAUCUUCCGCAAAGGGCGAAAGCCUGACGGAGCAACGCCGCGUGAGUGAUGAAGGUCUUCGGAUCGUAAAACUCUGUUAUUAGGGAAGAACAUAUGUGUAAGUAACUGUGCACAUCUUGACGGUACCUAAUCAGAAAGCCACGGCUAACUACGUG